UUUCUUGUCGGCAGGGCCUGUCUCCCCCGCGGGGACGAGGCACAUCGAGUGCGCGAAUGAGUGAGUCGCUAUUGCUGUCCGCGGUGGAGAGUUCUCUGAUUGUUACUUCUUGGGUGGGAAGACCGAAAUCUCCUCCUUUCCCUUCACACAAUAACUCUAACGUUUGCUUCCUUUCUUCUCUUUUGCCUCCUCUUCCAUGCGAAAAAGAGGAUGCUGUGAUUUGGGUUUGGUGUGAGCAGCAAACUCGGGUUCAUUAGGGAAGUGAGUACAGCACUAGGGUGAUGAGAGAACUUUUUCUCGAUCCUACUACUCGAUUGUAGCAACAUGGAAAGGUGAUUAGGUUUUGGACUCAGGAGAAGUGGAUUCUAGCCUCAGCUCCACCUUUAAAACCUCUGUGACCUUGGGCCAGCAAACCCCUCAAGAAUUUGUUUCAUUAACUUUGGGAUUGAACCCACAACCUUGGCGUAGCAGGACGACGCUCUAACCAACUGAGCUACCCGGCCAGGGUUUAAUUCAGGAAUCCUGUGCCUAUCACUCAACAUAGUUUCAACUUUCCAGCUAAAUGACUUUUGUGCCAGUCAUACUGGAGUCCUACACCCAUGUUCUUGCAGAGUUUGAGUCUCUGGAUCCAUUACUUUCAGCCCUAAGGCUGGACUCAAGUCGUCUAAAGUGCACGAGCAUAGCUGUAUCUCGGAAAUGGUUGGCUUUGGGCAGUUCAGGAGGAGGUCUCAACCUCAUCCAAAAAGAAGGCUGGAAGCACAGGCUCUUUCUUUCACAUAGGGAAGGAGCAAUUUCUCAGGUUGCCUGUUGUUCACAUGAUGAUGAUUAUGUUGCUGUAGCUACCAGUCAAGGCUUUGUAGUUGUUUGGGAAUUAAAUCAAGAGCGUCGUGGGAAACCAGAACGAAUUUAUGUGUCUUCAGAACACAAGGGCCGAAAAGUUACAGCUCUCUGUUGGGAUACAGCGAUUCUUAGAGUUUUUGUAGGUGAUCAUAUGGGGAAAGUUUCAGCCAUCAAACUCAACACUUCUAAACAAGCAAGGGCAGCUGUUACCUUUGUGAUGUUUCCUGUUCAGACAAUAACAACAGUUGACUCCUGUGUUGUCCAGUUAGAUUAUUUGGAUGGAAGACUACUUAUAUCUUCACUCACUAGAUCCUUCUUGUGUGACACUGAAAGAGAAAAAUUUUGGAAAAUUGGAAACAAGGAAAGAGAUGGAGAAUAUGGAGCUUGUUUCUUCCCUGGAAGGUGUGCUGCGGGCCAGCAACCUCUAAUAUAUUGUGCUCGUCCUGGCUCCAGAAUGUGGGAAGUGAACUUUGAUGGGGAAGUUAUAAGUACACAUCAGUUUAAGAAACUCCUCUCAUCACCACCUCUCCCUGUGAUUACUCUCAGAUCAGAACCUCAGUAUGAUCAUACAGUUGGAUCCUCCCAGUCUUUGUCUUUCCCCAAACUCUUGCAUCUUAGUGAGCAUUGUGUGUUGACUUGGACAGAAAGAGGAAUUUAUAUUUUCGUUCCUCAGAACGUUCAGGUUCUUCUUUGGAGUGAAGUCAAAGAUAUUCAGGAUGUGGCUGUCUUCAAGAAUGAGCUGUUCUGUUUGCAUCUAAAUGGGAAAAUCUCACAUCUUUCCCUCUUAUCUGUGGAACGCUGUGUGGAACGCCUGCUAAGGAGAAGCCUUUGGAACCUGGCUGCUCACACUUGCUGUCUGUUCCAGAAUUCUCUCAUUGCUGGCAGAGGAAGAAAAUCAUUGACUGUAGAUAAAUUGGAGCACUUGAAAUCUCAGCUGGAUCUCACAACCUGUAGUGAUUUGAUUUCUCAACUAGAAGAAUUGAUCUUAAAAUUUGAACCUUUGGAUUCAGCUUGCAGCAGUAGAAGAAGCUCCAUUUCAUCACAUGAAAGUUUCAGCAUCUUGGACUCUGGUAUUUAUCGUAUUAUUAGUAGUAGAAGAGGCAGUCAGUCAGAUGAAGACACUUGUUCCCUUCACAGCCAAACCCUCUCAGAAGAUGAGAGACUUAAAGAAUUCAUCUCACAUCAAGAAGAGGACCAGCCAGAUCAGUGUUGCAGCUCACACGGAAAUGAGGACAGUGUUUCUCAUGUUCCAGUGACGUUUGAGACAGAUAAGAAUGAAACUUUUCUCCCCUUCGGCAUUCCAUUAUCAUUUCGUUCUCCAUCUCCUCUUGUGUCUCUUCAGGCUGUCAAGGAAAGUGUUUCUAGCUUUGUACGUAAAACUACUGAGAAGAUUGGCACCCUUCAUACAAGCCCUGAUCAGAAAGUGAGACCAGAACCCAGAGGUGAUGAACAGUUAUGUGAAGAAGAUGUGAGUCCUGUCACUUGCUCAAAGGAGGAAGACACAGAGGGAAUAAAAGAAGUAACUAGUCAACCUCCAGAAGAAGAUAAAUUCCAAGAGCUCAAAAUAGCAACGGCAGAAGCAAUGACCAAGCUACAGGACCCACUGGUUUUAUUUGAACCUGAAUCUCUGAGAAUGGUUUUACAGGAGUGGCUUUCACAGUUAGAAAAAACAUUUGCCAUAAAGGACUUUUCAGGCAUUUCAGGUACCUGCAACUCAUCCACAACAUCGAAUGAGGAUGUACUAUUGUUUGAUGAGUCAAAAAAUGGAAUAUUGGUUGAAGAUAAUGAAAAAGAAAAAAGGGACUCUUUAGGCAAUGAAGAAACUGUUGAUCACAAGGCAUGUGAAUCUGUAAAUAGUCUGAGGGAGCCCUUGGAUGACCUCUUUCGAGUAUGUUCUCCAUGGAGCAUAGCAAACGGUCUCUGGAAGGACCUGGCUGAAUUGACAACAUUGUGUUUAGAAUUGAAUGUACUGAAUUCUGAGAUCAAAAGCACAAGUGAACAUGAGGACCACACUUUGCAAGAGCACUCUUCUGAAAUUCUGGCUUGUCAGUUCCUAAAGAAGUACUUUUUUCUCCUGGACUUGAAGAGAGCAAAGGAGAGUAUCAAGCUUACUUAUGCAAACAAUCAUUGUGUUUGGGAUACUUUUAUCGAAGGAUUGAAAGAAAUGGCAAGUUCCAAUCCUACAUAUAUGGAGAUGGAAGAAGGCGAUCUACCAACAAAAUUAAAAUUAGUGGAUGACUCGGUCCCUUUUGACAGUCCUUUGUUGAUUGCUUAUGCUACCCAAUUGUAUGAGAAGUUUGGGGAAUCUGCCCUUCGAUCCUUGAUCAAGUUUUACCCAUCAAUUUUGCCUUCGGAUGUCAUGCAACUUUGUCAUCAUCAUCCUGCUCAGUUUUUGGCCUAUUUAGACAGUCUAGUGAAAUCAAGGCCUGAAGAUCACCGGCAGUCCUUCCUUGAGUCCCUUCUACAACCAGAGUCUUUAAGAUUGGAUUGGCUGCUGUUAGCAGUGUCCCAUGAUGCUCCCCCAAGCACAAGCACUAUGGAUGAUGAAGGAAAUCCCAGGCCUCAUUCACACUUGUUUUCCUGGGGUUACAGUCAGCUGAUCCUUCAUCUAAUUAAACUACCUGCAGAUUUUACAACCAAAGAGAAAAUGACUGACAUCUGCAGGUCUCGUGGUUUCUGGCCUGGAUAUCUUACUCUCUGUUUGGAGCUGGAGAGAAGAAGAGAGGCCUUCACCAACAUAGUAUAUUUGAAUGAUAUGAGCCUGAUGGAUGGGGACAGUGGUUGGAUCCCAGAAACCAUGGAGGAGUGGAAACUUCUCCUACAUCUUGUUCAGAACAAAAACACAAAGCCAGACCCCCAGAAUUCACCAAAUGGGAGCUUCAGUGAUGGGCCUUCCCCUGUUAACCUGGAGAAUGUAGCACUGCUGUUAGCUAAGGCCAUGGGUCCAGAUCGGGCCUGGUCAUUGCUACAGGAAUGUGGUUUGACACUUGAGCUGUCAGAGAGAUUUACCAGAACCUGCAAUAUCCUAAGGAUUGCUGAGAAAAGACAGAGGUAAUACCUGUCUGUCAUGCCCUCUCCAUAGGUGCUUCGGGAAUGUGGAAACCCAAGAUUUUCAGAGGGGGAUGGGACUAGAGAGAUCAUCCAGUCCCAACCCCUAACAACAGAUGAGGAGACUGAGACUCACCUGUUGAUUAAGAGCCUUGAUACAAAGUAUGCUUGAAAAAUGUGAUCGGUUUCUCUGGUCUCAGCAGGCCUAGUGGAAGAAGAUUCAACAGGAUGUCAUAACAUUUUAAGGAAAAUGGAAUCAUGCUCCUGAAUCUUCCGAAUGUGUUUGUUAUUGAAGGAAAGGCACCACUUGAAAACCCUGCUGCCUUAUUGGGAGUACCUUGGCCAGUGUCUGUAACCUCUGUAUUUAUGGCUUAUCUGUGACCUCAGUGAUUCUCAACCAAAGUUGAAUCUUGAAAGGAAUUGGUCCUUGUUUGCUGAUAUGAAGAGUUCUGUAAUCAGAAUGUGAAUGCUCACAGCUAUGCAGUCCUUACUAGUAUUCUGAACAACAGUGUUAUUUAUUUCUUGCUUGUGGAUUGUAGGAGCAGAAGUUUCUCAUUGUGAUCACACGAAGACAGAUCAUUUAAUUGACAGGAGUUGAAAUUUUUUUAUCCUUGUCUAGGGCAGUUGAGAAAUUACUGAAAUAUGACCUGGUGUAAUGGAAUUAAUACAAAAAAAAGUGAAACACUGAAGACUCAAAUUAGAUAUGUAAGUGAAAUGGCCCCAUAUUUAAUUUGAACUAAUUUAAAAUACAUUUUUUCUAGUAUUUGACAUUUUAUAAUCUGAAUUUGACAUUUUAUACAACUGAUUAAUUCAUUACUGAUAAUGUUUUAACUUGAAUUUUUCCUAAACAGAGUAGUUCAAAGAAAUCAUGCACUUUUAGAAAUCAUUUUUUUAAAGUCACAAUAAAGAAAGGCUAAAACUAAUGAAGACUGAAGCAAGUGCUUGUAUUAUUUAAGCCAAAUACUAGAUUGCGAUUUGUCAGACUUCUAUAGAUAUAACAUGUUAUAUUAAUAAUAAAUGUAAAAUCUGA
Myotis myotis is the source of this 4918-nucleotide RNA transcript. It is a transcript of the gene named HPS5 biogenesis of lysosomal organelles complex 2 subunit 2, with no coding region annotated. Lineage: Eukaryota; Metazoa; Chordata; Mammalia; Chiroptera; Vespertilionidae. The record is from RefSeq and is a predicted model, not a curated record. The transcript is spliced from 24 exons.